GAUGAACGCUGGCGGCGUGCCUAAUACAUGCAAGUCGAGCGGUAACACUUCGGGUGACGAGCGGCGGACGGCUGAGUAACGCGUGGGAAUGUACCCCAAAGUGAGGGAUAACUGCUCGAAAGAGUAGCUAAUACCGCAUGUGGUCUACGGAUUAAAGCUUCGGCGCUCUGGGAACAGCCUGCGUAAGAUUAGCUUGUUGGUGAGGUAACGGCUCACCAAGGCGACGAUCUUUAGCUGGUCUGAGAGGAUGAUCAGCCAGACUGGGACUGAGAACGGCCCAGACUCCUACGGGAGGCAGCAGUAGGGAAUCUUCCACAAUGGACGAAAGUCUGAUGGAGCAACGCCGCGUGCAGGAUGAAUGCCUUCGGGUUGUAAACUGCUUUUAUAUGUGACGAUUAUGACGGUAGCAUAUGAAUAAGGAUCGGCUAAUUCCGUGCCAGCCGCCGCAGUAA
This 452-nucleotide ribosomal RNA is filed under the name uncultured bacterium. RNAcentral describes it as "partial 16S ribosomal RNA". It matches the Rfam family "Bacterial small subunit ribosomal RNA", at positions 28 to 523 of the family's 1533-position model. The record is from RNAcentral.